AUUGUUCACCUUUCCAACCUCACUCACCCCUAUCUCCAGGACAUGCGAUAGUUUGAAGGUGACUUGAUUCGACGGUAGUCGUAGAGGCGAGCUUUCCUGGAUAGUGAGUGGUCCUCUGUAUACAGUGCGGUCCAAGGGAGGGCAAGCAAGUUCCAUCUGUCGUGGAGAAAGCUUCUUUCCAUGUGAGGGACUCGUCCUUGCAGGUCCUCGUCCGGGGUCACUGUAGCGAAUUCCCACUGGAGGAGUCUCUCGUCCGCACUUAGGGUCUCCCGUAUAUAUACGAAAAAGCAUUAAUACAUAUAAAAAUAGGACAGUUCAGCUCUGAAGUCAUCCUGUGAAACAACACUAUGUGGACAUACCUAUACUAUGUCCUAGCAAUCUUGGACUGCUUACACACUACAGUCCUAAAAGAAGUAUGAAGUACUAACUUAUAAUAUUCAGUGUAUGCUUUCCUGUCUUUACUGAGAUUUCUCCAGUGCGUGAGCAACUCUUGUUCGGCCUUCUGUGUAUAUCCAUCUAUCAUAGAGAUGUGUGGGUUCCACAAAACUCUUGAUAUUUGGACCUAUUGCCCUUUCCAGAUAAAUCAGGCAAUUUAUAUUGAAAUAUAUGAACCCAUUUGUUCUGCGAAAUGUCGAUACGUGAUAUGUACAAAUGCAACUCCUCAUGGAAGGCGUAUUUCUGUAUGCACAGAGUGAACAUUGGAAGGAUUGUUUUCUCUUUUUCUCUUCGAUCAGAACGUCUAUGUUUGCCUUCCACAACUCGACCACCCCCUUCUCCAGGACAUCUAGUGUUCUAGUGUCAGAUGCUGACUUCAGUCAGAACUGUCAAGGAGCCAAGCAAUGUUGUAAUGGUAGCUCAGAACACAAAGAAUGUCGGUGUGACAAUUGACGUUUCUCUGUUCCUCCCUACACACACCCACCUCCAGGAUGGGUCAGAGUUGGAAGGUCCUGGGCUGGCCUUCAGGAAGCUGGGGACAAGUGGCAGUGGUUGUAGUUCUGGUUGUGACUGGAAGUUGACAAUGUGCUACAACUCCACACGCCACUUGGUCACCGCAGCUGGAGAUCUGGACAUCAGAGUGUCAUGUUCUUGAAAUCUCUGAUAUAUUUAAAUAAAACCAUUGUAGAUAAUGACACAUACAUUGAAUACAAGCAGUAAGUUCACUUCAGAGAAGGUCUGCUUUUUAAAAAAUAAUUUUUUUAAAUUACAAUCGUUGGGCUUGUAACAUUUGAGGGAGAUGUGCUUCCAAAAGCAACAUCCGCCAUCCUGGCACUCUCACGGACCUGGUCGUUGGUGCUGUGAGGCCUUGUCAGUAUAAACUGCCUAGUCUGAGGUUUUGAGUUUCUGAUGACAGCAUCCUUCACCAAAGGCUCCUUGACUCAUAUUCAAGGUCUUGUAGGAAAUCCUCAAAAUUUCAGAGUCUUCUGCUUCCUGUUAUACAGCCUAUGAAGCCUUUCAUAUAUUUUCAUGGAAUUUUGCUGGUAUCUCACCAGAAAAGCAGUCUUAACUCGUCCCAAGAAUUGUUCUCAAAAUCUUUUGCCUUGAAACCAUUUAAAUGCCUUCGCAUCUAACCAUAGACUAAAGGCUUCUUCUUGCCUUCCUCUGAAUAACUAUACAGUGAUGUAAACUUUCCAUACUUCUUCAACCAGGUUCCUUCAUUAACAGAUUCACUGCCUGCAAGUUCAAAAGUAUUAGCUAAUGCACAAACACUCCUGUCUAACCUAUCUGAGUGGUUGAAAAUCAGUUGAAAAUAAACCAGACUGUCCCUGUUUCUUGAUGUUCUUGGCUCCACCUUCUUCCUGAUCAAAUGACAUUUUGAAAUUAACAGUUUUGUCACCAAUAGACUCGUCAAAGCUGUCUAACCCUCCCUCGUGGGUAGGUGCCAAAAAUGAUGACUCUCUCUCCCUAUUUGGAGAUCUAACCACUUGAUCAGUUUAAGUAGCAAAACAAACGAGCAAUUCUGGGAAAUCAAUGGAGGCACGGUUGAUGGAAGUAGAAUAUUUGACUUCUGUCUCUUCAUCAUCAUCAGAUGACAUGACUUUGUGUAAUGAAUACAAACAAUAACCAUGAGAAAUACAGUGAAAUCUCUGAUACUACAGAAUACAAUACACAAAGCAAAAAGUAAAUGUCCAUGAAAGCCUCGGUCUCUCAGGCAUGACACAGGGAGCUGAGUCUCGUAAACUGUCCAACACUAGAAAAGAAAAUAUAAUCAAUAGCACUGUUGCCUUGCGUGCAGGGUGAGCAGGCUUGACACAGUGCCACUCUACAAACUCCACCACCCCCAUCUCCAGGACAAGUGAUAACUUGAAAGCCAGGAGGUGAUUUUAUUCUGAAGGUUUGGUUCUUUCUUUGUCCACACAUUAGAACAAGAUUGUUCACCUCUCCUGACUCCACCACCCCCAUCUCCAGGACAUGCAAUACUUUGAAAGUCAGGAGGUGACUUGGUUGUGAAGGUUUAGUUCUUUCUUUACCCACAUUUAGAACAAGUUUGUUCACCUCUCUAAACUCACAUACCCCCAUCUCCAGGACAAGCGAUAGUUGGAAAGUCAGGAAGUGACUUGAUUGUGAAGGUUUGGUCUUUCUUUGCCCACAUUUAGAACAAGAUUGUUCACCUCUCCUGACUCCACCACCCCCAUCUCCAGGACAUGCGAUACUUUGAAAGUCAGGAAGUGACUUGAUUGUGAAGGUUUAGUUCUUUCUUUGCCCACAUUUAGAACAAGAUUGUUCACCUCUCCUGACUCUAUCACCCCCAUCUCCAGGACAUGCGAUAGUUUGAAAGUCAGGAGGUGACUUUAUUCUGAAGGUUUGGUCUUUCCCUGUCGAAAAUUUGAUGAAUACUUCAUGAACUAUUCACGAACAUUUCAUGAACAUUUCACGAAGUUUUCAUGAACUUUUCAUGAACUUUUCGUGAAGACUAAAUGGCCACUUUUCACUUCACAAACUUUUUCGUGAACUAAGUUCACGAACAAGUUCAUGAACUAGUUCACGAGUUGUUGGUGAAUAAGUUCAUGAAAUUUUCUCGAACGAAUGCAUGAACAAGUUCAUGAACUUUUCAUGAAGUCAAAUGGCCAUUUAGUCUUCAGGAAACUUUCAUGAUGAGUUCCUGAACUAUUAACGAACUCUGCAGCUGUAAAGAAACACAGUUCUGUGCCAUUUUCAAAAAAGAAGUGUGUCUAACAAUAAUUUAACCAGUUGAGGGAUGUAACAAGGGGCAACUUGGUUUUGCCAAGAAUGAUUUAAAGUGCACUUUCAAGACAUCUAAAAAAGACAAACAAAAGGUAUAAAAUACAAUCAUUUAUAUUGUCAGCAGUACUUCAAUGAAACAGCAAACUCUGACAUCAAGUGAGCUAAUGCACAUUAACCUGUCACAUAAACUUGGUUUUGAUGACCAAUACCAUGGACAGCUUGUGACCUAGCACUGAAGCUCAUUUACAUUAGAAAUAUUGACUUCUGAUUUAUCCUUUUAUCAAGGCGAAGACUAGAAGUGCCAUUAAAAAUGUCACAGAAAAGUAUAUUACAAAAGUGUUGCAUUUAAAAAUAUUCUUGUACGUUACACGAUACAUUGGGAGCUGAUUAUUUUGAUGAUCCCCACAAGUUUAGAUUUAAAAUUGAUAUAAAAUAAAUUUGUCAAAGUUCACAACUUUACUAUCAAAUGAGAAUAUAAAAAUCAAGAAAUUUUAAAUGAAAACAUUCUGACUGGUCCAGAUAUUUACGAAGUUGAUAGUUAUUGAGACAUUUAUCAAUACAAAUAACUGUGAAAUGGUUUCUAAAACUCUUAACUUUAUUUUAAUAGCCAAAUGUUAAAAAUGUCACUCCAUACUAAAUUUCUUUUUUAAAAUUGCCUAGGUUGACUUUGACUUCUUUUCUGUUUUUGCACAUUCUGAAACUUUUCCCUUGUUUGGUUCCACUCAGUACCUGGCUUGUGCUUCAUUGCAGCUUGCUUAAAUGAGGCAACCUUUGUGUUAUCUAAUGGAGGUCUAGCAAUUUCUUUGGAAUGUGGGGACUUUUUCCCACUCAAAGAGCAGUCCCUCAGUUCUUCCUCACUGAAGUCCAGAUGAGCCAGCUCUUUGACACACAGCUGUAUAUUUGUCUUCGGUAAAUGGGAGAUGCUGGUCACCAGGGAGUUAACUUGUGAGGUCACUGCUUCACAUGGGGCACAUGGGGAGGGUGUAACAGCCGGCCACCAGGGAGUUGACUUGUGAGGUCACUGCUUCACAUGGGGCACAUGGGGAGGGUGUAACAGCCGGCCACCAGGGAGUUGACUUGUGAGGUCACUGCUUCACAUGGGGCACAUGGGGAGGGUGUAACAGCCGGCCACCAGUGAGUUGACUUGUGAGGUCACUGCUUCACAUGGGGCACAUGGGGAGGGUGUAACAGCCGGCCACCAGUGAGUUGACUUGUGAGGUCACUGCUUCACAUGGGGCACAUGGGGAGGGUGUAACAGCCGGCCACCAGGGAGUUGACUUGUGAGGUCACUGCUUCACAUGGGGCACAUGGGGAGGGUGUAACAGCCGGCCACCAGGGAGUUUUGCUGCUGGACUGGCCAGUGGCGAAGCUAGUGGUGAAGCUAAUGGUGAUGCCACAGGAGACACAAGUUGGGAAGAUGUGUUCUGCUUCUCUGCCUGGAGCUUCUUGAAGGCCUCCUCAAGAUGUCGCACUCUUUCCUUCAGUCUUGAAAUGUCUUUGCACCUGUUAUUGAAAAGAAAGACAUGUUAAUACUUUACUUUAAAAAAUAGUCAAGUGAAGUAUUAAUUGCUCUUUCAUAAAUUGAAAGUGUCCUUUUUUGGAAUAGGACUAAAUUAAUAUACAAGCAGAACUAAAAUUGCAAGAAAAGUAAAAUUUAAAUUCAUUCACUUACAUUGUUCUUUUGAAGUAUUAUACUGAUAAGAUAAACACUUAGCAUAUCAUUUUUUCUUUUCUUUCUGAGACAAAGUUUGCUCACAUUUUGAACAAUUUCCAAUGGAUGCUUUAGAAGUAGAGUUGUGACGAUACACAUUUGCCACGAUACAAUACAUAUUGUGAUACAUGCUUUACGAUACGAUUCGAUUCGAUACGUAUCACUGUACACAUUUCAAUGCUGAACAUGCCUGUAAGUUGAGAAAUAAAAUCAAUUAAGCAAAA
Haliotis rufescens (red abalone) is the source of this 5118-nucleotide long non-coding RNA. RefSeq lists it as uncharacterized. The transcript is spliced from 2 exons. NCBI's taxonomy places the organism in Eukaryota, Metazoa, Mollusca, Gastropoda, Lepetellida, Haliotidae. The record is from RefSeq and is a predicted model, not a curated record.